AAUGAAUUGCCUGAGAAAAGGACUAUCUUGAUAGGGUAAAACACGUAUAAAUUUACAUUCAUUA
Molecule: transfer RNA, 64 nt
Filed under: Aquatica wuhana
Lineage: Eukaryota; Metazoa; Arthropoda; Insecta; Coleoptera; Lampyridae
Description: tRNA-Ile
Source: RNAcentral